RNAcentral lists this long non-coding RNA (359 nucleotides) under Homo sapiens (human). RNAcentral describes it as "HSALNT0155217". The record is from RNAcentral. Lineage: Eukaryota; Metazoa; Chordata; Mammalia; Primates; Hominidae.
GGUGGGGCUUCUUAUGGCCUUGAUAGGCAUGGAGGGCUCAGAGAGGCCAGGUGGCUCGCCCAAGGCCACAUAGAAUAGGAAUGGCAGAUAGAACCGAGUCUGGGUGACUCUGCCUCCUGCCGCUUCCCCUGUCGAGAAGCCACAUUGGGCUGCAGGUUUCUAGCUCUGUCAUCCAGGCUGGAGUGCAGUGGCGUGAUCAUGGCUCACUGUGACCUCUGUCUCCUGGUCUCAAGGGAUCCUCCCACCUCAGCCUCUCAAGUAGUCGGGACCACAGGUAAGCGCUACGACGCCUGGCUAAUUUUUGUAUUCUUUUUGUAGAGAUGGGGGGUUUUGCCAUGUUGCCCAGGCUGGUCUUGAAC